CGCAGCCGCGGUAAUUCCAGCUCCAAUAGCGUAUAUUAAAGUUGUUGCAGUUAAAAAGCUCGUAGUUGAAUUUCGAGACCGGUUUAUUGGUCGUGCUUUUGUACGUACUGGUAUUAUUGGUUUCUCCUUUCUGACGAAUCUUAAUGCCAUUAAUUUGGUGUUUUGGGGAAUCAGGACUGUUACUUUGAAAAAAUUAGAGUGUUUAAAGCAGGCUCACGCUUGAAUACAUUAGCAUGGAAUAACGGAAUAGGACGUUUGAUUCUAUUUUGUUGGUUUCUAGGAUCGACGUAAUGAUUAAUAGGGAUAGUUGGGGGCAUUAGUAUUCAAUUGUCAGAGGUGAAAUUCUUGGAUUUAUUGAAGACUAACUACUGCGAAAGCAUUUGCCAAGGAUGUUUUCAUUAAUCAAGAACGAAAGUUAGGGGAUCGAAGGCGAUCAGAUACCGUCGUAGUCUUAACCAUAAACUAUGCCGACUAGGGAUC
This 480-nucleotide ribosomal RNA is filed under the name uncultured Glomus. Its description in RNAcentral is "SSU rRNA". It matches the Rfam family "Eukaryotic small subunit ribosomal RNA", at positions 569 to 1054 of the family's 1831-position model. Lineage: Eukaryota; Fungi; Glomeromycota; Glomeromycetes; Glomerales; Glomeraceae. The record is from RNAcentral.